This is a non-coding RNA of Rattus norvegicus (Norway rat), 637 nucleotides long. NCBI's taxonomy places the organism in Eukaryota, Metazoa, Chordata, Mammalia, Rodentia, Muridae. The record is from the annotation of a RefSeq genome assembly.
UAUCAAGCAGCAGGGGGAGCAAGAUGGAAUUUCAGACUCAGGUACUCAUGACCCUGCUGCUCUGGGUAUCUGGUGCCAAUGCUAAUGUCAUGAUGACCCAGUCUCCAACUUCACUUGCUGUAUCAGCAGGUGAGAUGGUUUCCCUCAGCUGUAAGUCCAGUGAGAACCUUUAUUCAAGCACAUACAAGGAGAACUACUUGGCUUGGUACCAAAAGAAAUCAGGGCAAUCUCCUAAAUUGCUGAUCUUCUAUGCAUCCCAUAGAGCAUCUGGGGUCCCUGAUCGCUUCAUAGGCAGUGGAUCUGGGACAGAUUUCACUCUCACCAUCAGAAGUAUGCAGGCUGAAGACACGGCAGAUUAUUACUGUGCGCGGCAUUAUAGCUCUCUUCCCACAGUGCUUCAGCCUCUUACACAAACCUCCUUGAGUGUCUCACCAGCUGCUGAUACCACACACAGCCCUGGCCUUGCCCACUUCCCCUUCUGCCUGAGAGUUGGUGUGCCUGAGAAAUAGAUGAGACCAGUAAAAAUGUGUUUAAUGUCUCAUGCCUUUUCAUAUUUAAAAUCUUUGUAUAAAAAUGCAAAUAACAACUCAGUAUUGUCUAUUAUUUUUGUAACCUUACCACAAACUUCUCUGCUUGA